Molecule: long non-coding RNA, 638 nt
Organism: Lolium perenne
Lineage: Eukaryota; Viridiplantae; Streptophyta; Magnoliopsida; Poales; Poaceae
Source: RefSeq, a predicted model, not a curated record
UGGUAGUGGCAGGCUCGUUAGCCUCUAGCGAUUAGACAGGCGAGCCAAGCCUGACUGCUACUGCUCUGGUCCUCUCGCCCGACUCACAUGGAUAGAUGUGUAUAUCAUGAAUAGCACUGUGGAUGUGGUGCAGCGUUCAUCUAGGCAGCCUCUCCCUUCCUUCUCUCCUUCCUACAUGCAUGUAGGUCGCCAGCCAUGUCUUGCUCCUCCUUGCUCGGUCGUCGCCUCGCACCUCUACACGCAUUCACAGAACCAUCUGCAUCUCGCCGUGUCGAUGGAUGGUGCAAUGCAGCGAGGUUCUUCUAGCGGAAGAUCGCUCCAAUGGCUGGAGCUGCUUGCCUGGCUCCCUGAAUGCCAUCUGAGAAGCACGCCGCUGUGGUCGGCAUGCAUCCUGGAUGGCGUUGAGGGAGUCAUGCAGGCCGGGGAAGUUUACUUGCCAUUCACCUCCCGCCUAGGCUUUCAUGCUGCACUGCCUCUUCUUCUUCAGGUGCGUUCUACACAAGCACGUCUCGCGACCACUGACAUUUUCUGGCACAACCCAAUUUGUUGUCUUCAGAAAACAUAGAUACAAGAUCUGGCAGGUUUUCGAUGUUUGCAUUGCGGGAAAAAUGAAGAAAUUCGUCCCACCUUUGUACCUC